Molecule: long non-coding RNA, 498 nt
Filed under: Gossypium barbadense (sea-island cotton)
Lineage: Eukaryota; Viridiplantae; Streptophyta; Magnoliopsida; Malvales; Malvaceae
Description: long non-coding RNA (GBAR_LNC013684)
Source: RNAcentral
UUUGAUUUGCUUCACAUUAAAUCUUAUAUCCCAAAACCCAAAUCCUCAGCCAGAGGCAAUUGAAACUCCAUUUCUCUGCCACAAAAAGCUCCCCCGCCCCAACUCCCCUGGGAUCAACAGCACAAUUCUAAACCCAAAAACAUAAAAAAAUGGCAGCAAGUGUAGCAACAAUGGCGAUGCUCAAUGCAAAAUGCCUAAGCAUCAGCUCAACUAAGAUGAGCAGCCCAACAAAGCCAACCCCAAAGCCCUUCUCCCUUCUCUCCAUGCAGAACCUCCCCAAAGGCCUCACCAUCUCAAAACCAGCCAACAACUCAAACCUACCGUCUUCACUCGCUGGCAGCGCCAUUGCUGGAGCUAUCUUCUCAACCUUGAGCUCAUGUGACCCCGCCUUAGCUGCACAACAGAUUGCUGAAAUAGCUGAAGGAGACAACCGUGGGCUAGCUCUAUUGCUUCCCAUAAUCCCAGCGAUCGCUUGGGUCCUCUUCAACAUCCUCCAGC